UGGGGAAUUUUGGACAAUGGGCGAAAGCCUGAUCCAGCAAUGCCGCGUGUGUGAAGAAGGCCUUCGGGUUGUAAAGCACUUUUGUCCGGAAAGAAAUCCUUGGCUCUAAUACAGUCGGGGGAUGACGGUACCGGAAGAAUAAGCACCGGCUAACUACGUGCCAGCAGCCGCGGUAAUACGUAGGGUGCAAGCGUUAAUCGGAAUUACUGGGCGUAAAGCGUGCGCAGGCGGUUUGCUAAGACCGAUGUGAAAUCCCCGGGCUCAACCUGGGAACUGCAUUGGUGACUGGCAGGCUAGAGUAUGGCAGAGGGGGGUAGAAUUCCACGUGUAGCAGUGAAAUGCGUAGAGAUGUGGAGGAAUACCGAUGGCGAAGGCAGCCCCCUGGGCCAAUACUGACGCUCAUGCACGAAAGCGUGGGGAGCAAACAGGAUUAGAUACCCUGGUAGUCCACGCCCUAAAACGAUGUCAACUAGUUGUUGGGGAUUCAUUUCCUUAGUAACGUAGCUAACGCGUGAAGUUGACCGCCUGGGGAGUACGGUCGCAAGAUUAAAACUUCAAAGGAAUUGACGGGGUCAUAGCUGUUUCCU
RNAcentral lists this ribosomal RNA (587 nucleotides) under uncultured bacterium. RNAcentral's name for it is "partial 16S ribosomal RNA". It matches the Rfam family "Bacterial small subunit ribosomal RNA", at positions 355 to 1375 of the family's 1533-position model. The record is from RNAcentral.